GCAUCUAUGCAGCUAUUGCACGCCUGCAGUGGCUGGUGUGGGUGAUGCUCGCUGUUGCUACUGUUGCAAUCGCUGGGCUGAUACAUGUCCUGGACAGUGAGUGUACUGCAGCGCGUGUCCAUGUCGCGUAUUUGGCAGAAGACGCUUCCUUCAUUACUUCUUAUUUGCUCCAGGGGUGCUCCUCGUUGCAGCGCUGCAGCGUUCCCUGAUUCGGCCCGCCUCGAUCGUUAUCUUGGAUUUGCCUAGCUGGGGCCCGCGGAUCAUCCGGAAUAGAAAACAAAUUUGCUUCAUGGCGCUUGUUGCCCCGCUGGAAGGCCAAAACGUAGAGGUAGUAGGACGAC
Molecule: long non-coding RNA, 341 nt
Filed under: Volvox carteri
Lineage: Eukaryota; Viridiplantae; Chlorophyta; Chlorophyceae; Chlamydomonadales; Volvocaceae
Description: long non-coding RNA (VCAR_LNC001509)
Source: RNAcentral